Small nucleolar RNA from Impatiens glandulifera, 90 nucleotides. RefSeq annotates it as small nucleolar RNA snoR109. The transcript has a single exon. Lineage: Eukaryota; Viridiplantae; Streptophyta; Magnoliopsida; Ericales; Balsaminaceae. The record is from RefSeq and is a predicted model, not a curated record.
UGGAAGUUACAAGAAACAAUAACUGAGAGGUCUUACUGUUCGGUGGUUGUUUUGUCGUCUACUAAUCUGCUUACCGAGCUUCUCACAAUU